Non-coding RNA from Neolentinus lepideus HHB14362 ss-1, 97 nucleotides. The record is from the annotation of a GenBank genome assembly. NCBI's taxonomy places the organism in Eukaryota, Fungi, Basidiomycota, Agaricomycetes, Gloeophyllales, Gloeophyllaceae.
GGCUCAGUGGUCUAGUAGUAUGAUUCUCGCUUCGGGUUUCCCGACUUUAUGAAGUUGAGCAUGCGAGAGGUCCCGGGUUCAAUUCCCGGCUGAGCCC